UAGGCGGUUUGUUGCGUCGGCUGUGAAAUCCCGAGGCUCAACCUCGGGUCUGCAGUCGAUACGAGCAAACUAGAGUGUUGCAGGGGAGACUGGAAUUCCUGGUGUAGCGGUGAAAUGCGCAGAUAUCAGGAGGAACACCGGUGGCGAAGGCGGGUCUCUGGGCAACAACUGACGCUGAGGAGCGAAAGCGUGGGGAGCGAACAGGAUUAGAUACCCUGGUAGUCCACGCCGUAAACGUUGGGCGCUAGGUGUGGGGCUCAUUCCACGAGUUCCGUGCCGCAGCUAACGCAUUAAGCGCCCCGCCUGGGGAGUACGGCCGCAAGGCUAAAACUCAGAGGAAUUGACGGGGGCCCGCACAAGCGGCGGAGCAUGUUGCUUAAUUCGAUGCAACGCGAAGAACCUUACCUAGGCUUGACAUGCACGGAAAUCCUCCAGAGAUGGUGGGUCCGUAAGGGCCGUGCACAGGUGGUGCAUGGUUGUCGUCAGCUCGUGUCGUGAGAUGUUGGGUUAAGUCCCGCAACGAGCGCAACCCUCGUUCUAUGUUGCCAGCACGUCAUGGUGGGGACUCAUAGGAGACUGCCGGGGUCAACUCGGAGGAAGGUGGGGAUGACGUCAAAUCAUCAUGCCCCUUAUGUCUAGGGCUGCAAACAUGCUACAAUGGCCGGUACAAAGGGCUGCGAUACCGCGAGGUGGAGCGAAUCCCAAAAAGCCGGUCUCAGUUCGGAUUGGGGUCUGCAACUCGACCCCAUGAAGUUGGAGUCGCUA
This 765-nucleotide ribosomal RNA is filed under the name uncultured bacterium. RNAcentral's name for it is "bacterial SSU rRNA". It matches the Rfam family "Bacterial small subunit ribosomal RNA", at positions 572 to 1337 of the family's 1533-position model. The record is from RNAcentral.